AUGUUCCCGUUUCACACCGCACGGAACCGACCACGCGUGCAGACGCGCGGCGGAGCUCCCCGGUGCGGAUGGCGGCCGUGCAGCCCCCGCCCUUGGCACCCGCGGGGCACGGCGAGGCGCAGGGGCAGCGCCCGCUCCCGAGCCGGCCCUGAAUGCCGCCCUUGUUCGCACCGCGCGCGCUCCUCACCGUGCAGCGGCGGGAGGCUGGAGAGGGGGGGAAAAGCAAAAAGCGACAGAGCGCCGCGCGCGCUACUGCCGCCGCCGGGCGGGGGCUGCGGGGGGCGCGCGCCGCAUUCCGAUGCGGUGAGGCACGCGGCCCCCGCCCCAGGGCCGAGAGGAGAUGGCGCUGCGCCGCUCCCGCCCCCCGCGGGCGCGCGGCCGGAGCCGUUACUCAGCGGCCCGCGAGCGGCGGGCGCCGAGGCGAGAGGUAGGGCCGUGACCGGCGCCGCGCGGGGGCACGUCCCGGCCGCGGGGACGCGCUCUGCGGGGCGCUCGGUGCUCGCCGAGAAGCGCGAUGCCGCUGCUCCGCGGUGCCCGCGGGGCUGCCCCGGGCGGGAGGAGGCGAUGCACGGACGCCGCUCGCGCUCCGUCGCGGCGGGAGGCGCGGGGGAGUCCCCGCUGAGCCUCCCCCUCCCCGGAGAUCCCGCCCGCGCUGCCCCGAGCGUCUUCUUCCUCGCUCCGUCCCUCCUCCCCCGGCCCGGCGGGGCGGUCCGCGCCCGCAGCCCCCGCCCCCGUCCCGCCGCGGUAGGCGCUCGGCUCGCUCCGCCGCCCCGGGCAGCGGCGGGGGCGGCCCCGUCCGGCAGAGCGCUGCGCCGCAGAGCCCCGCUGGAGUCCCCGGCGGUCCCGGGAGGAAGAGGAUGCCGGGGUUGUGCUGAGAGGGUGUGUUUCUGUGACCCAUGCCUCAGUGGACAUACCCUUGUGUUCCUGCAGAAGCUGUGUACAGAGAAGGGAUCAGAUCUGACGUGGCUGACCACACAUCCAACAAGCGUGUCACUUAGCAGCACGGCUCCCGUUCUCCCCACAGGACUGUCAGUGAGCCGGUAUCCAGCCCAGCAGCUCUGUCUUGCCUUCCCCCCGCUGUACAGAGACUGCAGCAUUUCUGAAAAAGCAGAAUUAUCGUAACUUAUUGAGACAGGAAAAGUGGACGGCUUUUUCUUUCCUAGGUGGUAAAACUGCUCUGUCUGUAUACCUGACUCAUACCUAAAAGUGUUUUCCCACAUGUAAUUUUUAAAGUAUCGGCUCUUCUAUACCAUGUCUUAGAAACCUGCAAUCCUUCCUGUGUUUCAGGUGCCUGGCUUAUGGGAUAUGCCUCUGUUACAGCUAAAGUUAUAGAAAAGUUAGUAUAAAGAAGUUACAAUUCAAUUAAUUAAUAAGUUUUAAAAAUGCCAGCUGCAUGUAUAGUUAUUUCCUCAUAUUUGAAAUGCCAUAGAAUCAUAGAUUCAUAGAAUCAUAGAAUGGUUUGGGUUGAAAAGUUUCCUAAUUUUAUUCUAAGUCAACAUUAUGACUUUUGCAAUUCUUCUAAGCGAGAGUAAACCUUGAGUCUGUGUUACGUCUGUCAAGGUAUUUCUGGUUAGAUUCUUCCUGCCUCUAUUGGAAAUUGUAUUAGUUCAGCCCAAACCCAUGCCAGCAUCCAACAUUAGAUGCUGCUGUUUUUAUUGCAUUACUUAUUCCAUGCUGGCAGAAAUACGAUGUGUAUAAAAAGUUUUUGCUAUCCAAUUGCCUUUUGACGCCCUAUUAAAACAGAUUUCAGAGAUAGUGUUGCAAGAUCCUACUGCAGGGUUGAACUAGCAGUUUGAAACAAAAAUGUUCAUUGAUUUUUAUUUUAUUUAUUUAUUUAAUUUAAGACGCAGGAAGUUGGAGAAGGAUCCAUUUUACUUGAGACAAACUUCCUCCUUGAUGCUUAUCCAGAAAACAUUUAUAGAUGAAGAUGUAGAGUUUGAACUUGGUUGGGAACCCAGUUGAACCCAGAGCGUACUGCUCAACUGAUUCCAUUCUCAUCUAGCUUUCCUGAAACCAAAUGUAAGUUGAGUAUAUCCGUAUAAUCCUGGUACCAGAAUGUUGUGAUCAUUAAAAAUUGAGAUUUAGUGGCUAAUUUUGCUAUGCAGCAACAGUAUCAAGUUAA
RNAcentral lists this long non-coding RNA (2122 nucleotides) under Numida meleagris (helmeted guineafowl). Its description in RNAcentral is "lncRNA (ENSNMEG00000015100.1)". Lineage: Eukaryota; Metazoa; Chordata; Aves; Galliformes; Numididae. The record is from RNAcentral.